This 293-nucleotide unclassified non-coding RNA is filed under the name fungal sp. RNAcentral's name for it is "partial contains small subunit ribosomal RNA, internal transcribed spacer 1, and 5.8S ribosomal RNA". The stretch from base 1 to 47 matches the Rfam family "Eukaryotic small subunit ribosomal RNA", at positions 1785 to 1831 of the family's 1831-position model. Lineage: Eukaryota; Fungi. The record is from RNAcentral.
AAAGUCGUAACAAGGUUUCCGUAGGUGAACCUGCGGAAGGAUCAUUACUGAAGUUGAUGUAUAGCUUUGAAAAAUCCCACAAGGACGCUUCAAAGUCUAUAUUUUAUCUUUCAUCCUAUCCACUGUGAAUUUUUAUUCAACUAUAAAAUCGGACGGCAAACAUUGUUUUGCUGGUCGAGGACGAUCUUAACCGAUCGGACGAAUUACAACCAUUUUUAUAUGCACAAUGAAGAGAAUGCAAAGAUUAUUUAAAAAAUAAUAAAAAACUUUCAGUGACGGAUCUCUUGGCUCUC